UGUUUUUCUUUUGAGAUACGAUAUUUUCGCACAACAAAAUGUGUCAUCAAUCCGACUACACUUUUUCGUCACAUGUCAGAAUUCGGGUUAAUGAUUGGUUAGAAGAUCAGAUAUUUUCGCAUACAGUGGAAGAUACAUAUUUAAAUUCUAAUUAAUCGAUAAAAAGAUUUCCGCAAAAAAUUGAGAUACGAGAUUUUUGCAUAACAGCGACGAUAUAACUAUU
Molecule: long non-coding RNA, 223 nt
Filed under: Mytilus galloprovincialis (Mediterranean mussel)
Lineage: Eukaryota; Metazoa; Mollusca; Bivalvia; Mytilida; Mytilidae
Source: RNAcentral